AAGUGUUACAGCUCUUUUAGAAUCUGUCUAGUGAACUUUCUAGUGAGAAACCC
Molecule: small nuclear RNA, 53 nt
Organism: Nomascus leucogenys (northern white-cheeked gibbon)
Lineage: Eukaryota; Metazoa; Chordata; Mammalia; Primates; Hylobatidae
Gene: U7
Rfam family: U7 small nuclear RNA
About the family: Animal histone pre-mRNAs are spliced by a different mechanism than nuclear pre-mRNAs and self-splicing introns. This processing involves the U7 snRNP, which contains only one RNA species: U7. The 5' end of U7 RNA is thought to base-pair to a conserved spacer element downstream of the cleavage site in histone pre-mRNA.
Source: Ensembl